GAGCCUGGCUCAGGAUGAACGCUAGCUACAGGCUUAACACAUGCAAGUCGAGGGGCAGCAUGGUCUUAGCUUGCUAAGGCUGAUGGCGACCGGCGCACGGGUGAGUAACACGUAUCCAACCUGCCGUCUACUCUUGGCCAGCCUUCUGAAAGGAAGAUUAAUCCAGGACGGCAUCAUGAGUUCACAUGUCCGCAUGAUUAAAGGUAUUUUCCGGUAGACGAUGGGGA
RNAcentral lists this ribosomal RNA (227 nucleotides) under uncultured bacterium. Its description in RNAcentral is "partial 16S ribosomal RNA". It matches the Rfam family "Bacterial small subunit ribosomal RNA", at positions 15 to 231 of the family's 1533-position model. The record is from RNAcentral.